This is a long non-coding RNA of Poeciliopsis prolifica (blackstripe livebearer), 161 nucleotides long. RefSeq lists it as uncharacterized. The transcript is spliced from 3 exons. The record is from RefSeq and is a predicted model, not a curated record. NCBI's taxonomy places the organism in Eukaryota, Metazoa, Chordata, Actinopteri, Cyprinodontiformes, Poeciliidae.
GUUCUGUAGGUUCUGUGUGGUUCUGUAGGUUCUGUGUGGUUCUGUAGGUUCUGUGUGGUUCUGUGUGGUUCUGUGUGGUUCUGUAGGUUCUGUAGGUUCUGUGUGGUUCUGUGUGGUUCUGUAGGUUCUGUGUGGUUCUGUAGGUUCUGGGUGGUUCUGUA